UACGGAGGGGGCUAGCGUUGUUCGGAAUUACUGGGCGUAAAGCGCACGUAGGCGGCUUUGUAAGUUAGAGGUGAAAGCCCGGGGCUCAACUCCGGAAUUGCCUUUAAGACUGCAUCGCUAGAAUUGUGGAGAGGUAAGUGGAAUUCCGAGUGUAGAGGUGAAAUUCGUAGAUAUUCGGAAGAACACCGGUGGCGAAGGCGGCGACCUGGUCCGAUACUGACGCUGAGGCGCGAAAGCGUGGGGAGCAAACAGG
This 253-nucleotide ribosomal RNA is filed under the name uncultured bacterium. Its description in RNAcentral is "partial 16S ribosomal RNA". It matches the Rfam family "Bacterial small subunit ribosomal RNA", at positions 524 to 776 of the family's 1533-position model. The record is from RNAcentral.